AUUGAACGCUGGCGGCAGGCCUAACACAUGCAAGUCGAGCGGAUGAAGGGAGCUUGCUCCUGGAUUCAGCGGCGGACGGGUGAGUAAUGCCUAGGAAUCUGCCUGGUAGUGGGGGAUAACGUCCGGAAACGGGCGCUAAUACCGCAUACGUCCUGAGGGAGAAAGUGGGGGAUCUUCGGACCUCACGCUAUCAGAUGAGCCUAGGUCGGAUUAGCUAGUUGGUGGGGUAAAGGCCUACCAAGGCGACGAUCCGUAACUGGUCUGAGAGGAUGACCAGCCACACUGGAACUGAGACGCGGUCCAGACUCCUACGGGAGGCAGCAGUGGGGAAUAUUGGACAAUGGGCGAAAGCCUGAUCCAGCCAUGCCGCGUGUGUGAAGAAGGUCUUCGGAUUGUAAAGCACUUUAAGUUGGGAGGAAGGGCAGUAAGUUAAUACCUUGCUGUUUUGACGUUACCAACAGAAUAAGCACCGGCUAACUUCGUG
This 484-nucleotide ribosomal RNA is filed under the name uncultured bacterium. Its description in RNAcentral is "partial 16S ribosomal RNA". It matches the Rfam family "Bacterial small subunit ribosomal RNA", at positions 30 to 507 of the family's 1533-position model. The record is from RNAcentral.